This 210-nucleotide ribosomal RNA is filed under the name uncultured bacterium. RNAcentral describes it as "partial 16S ribosomal RNA". It matches the Rfam family "Bacterial small subunit ribosomal RNA", at positions 8 to 212 of the family's 1533-position model. The record is from RNAcentral.
AGAGUUUGAUCCUGGCUCAGGAUGAACGCUAGCGGCAGGCUUAAUACAUGCAAGUCGAACGGGAUUCGGAGUAGCAAUACUUUGAUGAGAGUGGCGCACGGGUGCGUAACGCGUAUGCAACCUACCUUUAACAGGGGAAUAGCCCCGAGAAAUCGGGAUUAAUACUCCGUAACAUUGCGGUGUGGCAUCACACUGCAAUUAAAGAUUUAU